UACGUAGGGUGCAAGCGUUGUCCGGAAUUAUUGGGCGUAAAGAGCUCGUAGGCGGUCCGUCACGUCGGGCGUGAAAACCCGAGGCUCAACCUCGGGCCUGCAGUGGGUACGGGCAGACUAGAGUGCGGUAGGGGAGAUUGGAAUUCCUGGUGUAGCGGUGGAAUGCGCAGAUAUCAGGAGGAACACCGAUGGCGAAGGCAGAUCUCUGGGCCGUAACUGACGCUGAGGAGCGAAAGCAUGGGGAGCGAACAGG
Molecule: ribosomal RNA, 253 nt
Filed under: uncultured bacterium
Lineage: Bacteria
Description: partial 16S ribosomal RNA
Rfam family: Bacterial small subunit ribosomal RNA
Source: RNAcentral